Molecule: ribosomal RNA, 435 nt
Filed under: uncultured bacterium
Lineage: Bacteria
Description: bacterial SSU rRNA
Rfam family: Bacterial small subunit ribosomal RNA
Source: RNAcentral
AACGCUGGCGGCGUGCCUAACACAUGCAAGUCGAACGAGAAAGUGGAGCAAUCCAUGAGUAAAGUGGCGACCGGGUGAGUAACACGUGACUAACCUACCCUGAAGUGGGGAAUAACCUCGGGAAACCGGGGCUAAUACCGCAUAACAUCGCGAGGGGAAGAUCCUAGUGAUCAGAGGAGCAAUUCGCUUUAGGAGGGGGUCGCGGCUGAUUAGUUAGUUGGUGAGGUAGCGGCUCACCAAGACAAAGAUCAGUAUCCGGCCUGAGAGGGCGCACGGACACACUGGAACUGAAACACGGUCCAGACUCCUACGGGAGGCAGCAGUGGGGAAUUUUGCGCAAUGGGGGAAACCCUGACGCAGCAACGCCGCGUGGAGGAUGAAGUCCCUUGGGAUGUAAACUCCUUUCGAUCGGGACGAUUAUGACGGUACCGGAAG